Molecule: transfer RNA, 90 nt
Filed under: Tistrella mobilis
Lineage: Bacteria; Pseudomonadati; Pseudomonadota; Alphaproteobacteria; Geminicoccales; Geminicoccaceae
Also listed under: 3 other names
Description: tRNA-Ser
Rfam family: tRNA
About the family: Transfer RNA (tRNA) molecules are approximately 80 nucleotides in length. Their secondary structure includes four short double-helical elements and three loops (D, anti-codon, and T loops). Further hydrogen bonds mediate the characteristic L-shaped molecular structure. tRNAs have two regions of fundamental functional importance: the anti-codon, which is responsible for specific mRNA codon recognition, and the 3' end, to which the tRNAs corresponding amino acid is attached (by aminoacyl-tRNA synthetases). tRNAs cope with the degeneracy of the genetic code in two manners: having more than one tRNA (with a specific anti-codon) for a particular amino acid; and 'wobble' base-pairing, i.e. permitting non-standard base-pairing at the 3rd anti-codon position.
Source: RNAcentral
GGAGGGAUGGCCGAGCGGUCGAAGGCGCACGCCUGGAAAGUGUGUAUACGGUAACACGUAUCGUGGGUUCGAAUCCCACUCCCUCCGCCA